RNAcentral lists this ribosomal RNA (174 nucleotides) under Triticum aestivum (bread wheat). RNAcentral describes it as "partial small subunit ribosomal RNA". Lineage: Eukaryota; Viridiplantae; Streptophyta; Magnoliopsida; Poales; Poaceae. The record is from RNAcentral.
AUGGGUUCAGAUGUGGAGUACAUAUACAAGCACUAUGCCGAGUCAUCCGACGAGGAGGACUGCACAAAUGAGACGACGAUGAUACAUGCGGUCCUUGCAGACACAAAGCAUGGUCAUGUUAAUAAGCCCACCAUCAUUCUUGAAGCAGUUGCAUCACAUGAUCUUUGGAUUUGA